AGCGAACGCUGGCGGCAGGCUUAACACAUGCAAGUCGAACGCCCCGCAAGGGGAGUGGCAGACGGGUGAGUAACACGUGGGAACGUACCCUUUGGUUCGGAAUAACUUGGGGAAACUCAAGCUAAUACCGGAUAAGCCCUUAUGGGGAAAGGUUUACUGCCGAAGGAUCGGCCCGCGUCUGAUUAGCUAGUUGGUGAGGUAAUGGCUCACCAAGGCGGCGAUCAGUAGCUGGUCUGAGAGGAUGAUCAGCCACACUGGGACUGAGACACGGCCCAGACUCCUACGGGAGGCAGCAGUGGGGAAUAUUGGACAAUGGGGGCAACCCUGAUCCAGCCAUGCCGCGUGAGUGAUGAAGGCCUUAGGGUUGUAAAGCUCUUUUACCCGGGACGAUAAUGACUGUACCGGGAGAAUAAGCCCCGGCUAACUUCGUGCCAGCAGCCGCAGUAA
Molecule: ribosomal RNA, 447 nt
Filed under: uncultured bacterium
Lineage: Bacteria
Description: partial 16S ribosomal RNA
Rfam family: Bacterial small subunit ribosomal RNA
Source: RNAcentral